ACGCUGGCGGCGUGCCUAAUACAUGCAAGUAGAACGCUGAAGGAGGAGCUUGCUCUUCUGGAUGAGUUGCGAACGGGUGAGUAACGCGUAGGUAACCUGCCUGGUAGCGGGGGAUAACUAUUGGAAACGAUAGCUAAUACCGCAUAACAGUAGAUAUCGCAUGAUAGCUGCUUGAAAGGUGCAAUUGCACCACUACCAGAUGGACCUGCGUUGUAUUAGCUAGUUGGUGAGGUAACGGCUCACCAAGGCAACGAUACAUAGCCGACCUGAGAGGGUGAUCGGCCACACUGGGACUGAGACACGGCCCAGACUCCUACGGGAGGCAGCAGUAGGGAAUCUUCGGCAAUGGACGGAAGUCUGACCGAGCAACGCCGCGUGAGUGAAGGAGGUUUUCGGAUCGUAAGGCUCUGUUGUAAGAGAAGAACGAGUGUGAGAGUGGAAAGUUCACACUGUGACGGUACCUUACCAGAAAGGGACGGCUAACUACGUGCCAGCAGCCGCGGUAAUACGUAGGUCCCGAGCGUUGUCCGGAUUUAUUGGGCGUAAAGCGAGCGCAGGCGGUUAGAUAAGUCUGAAGUUAAAGGCUGUGGCUUAACCAUAGUACGCUUUGGAAACUGUUUAACUUGAGUGCAAGAGGGGAGAGUGGAAUUCCAUGUGUAGCGGUGAAAUGCGUAGAUAUAUGGAGGAACACCGGUGGCGAAAGCGGCUCUCUGGCUUGUAACUGACGCUGAGGCUCGAAAGCGUGGGGAGCAAACAGGAUUAGAUACCCUGGUAGUCCACGCCGUAAACGAUGAGUGCUAGGUGUUAGACCCUUUCCGGGGUUUAGUGCCGUAGCUAACGCAUUAAGCACUCCGCCUGGGGAGUACGACCGCAAGGUUGAAACUCAAAGGAAUUGACGGGGGCCCGCACAAGCGGU
This 916-nucleotide ribosomal RNA is filed under the name uncultured bacterium. RNAcentral's name for it is "bacterial SSU rRNA". It matches the Rfam family "Bacterial small subunit ribosomal RNA", at positions 33 to 933 of the family's 1533-position model. The record is from RNAcentral.